GAGACACAGAGGGAGAUGCAGGCUCCAUGCAGGGAGCCCGACGUGGGACUCGAUCAUGGGAUUCCAGGAUCAUGCCCUGAGCCAAAGGAAGACACUCAACCACUGAGCCAUCCAGGCAUCCCUUAAUUGACUUUUAAAUAGAGAAUGGAGAGUUGGCUGCACAAGGAAAGCAGAAAAAUGGAGAGAGGGAUCUAUCAAAACUUAAAGAGUUUAUCAACUGGCUUGAAAUUCAAGGUGGACUACAGCGUUACACAAAAUGGGGUUUGGCCUUUUAACUCGCGUAACAUCACAGAACUGACAAAGUAUAAAAAGGCUAACAUACCAAAACCAUCUAAGUCAGCUAGUUUUAUGUGAAUAGCAUAAAUAAAUGUUUCAAGUUACAUCCUUUUAAGUUUGUUGUCCAGGAUCACUACAUCUCACAUGAGGCUCAAACUCACAACCCGGAGUUCAAGAGUUGCGUGCUCUUCUGACUGAACCAGCCAGGCACCCCUCAAGUUACAUUUGUAAUUCUGAGCACAUAAGUAUUAUAUGUCCUUUUCUUUCUCUCUUUGUUUUGCUUUGUUUUUUGGUAGACUGUAAUUUCCAGAGCAAAUACUGUAUUGGAGAUGUGGAUUUACUUUUCUGGGUAACAAUAAAGCUUCAAGCAUAUUGAUGUU
This is a long non-coding RNA of Canis lupus familiaris (dog), 656 nucleotides long. RefSeq lists it as uncharacterized. The record is from RefSeq and is a predicted model, not a curated record. The transcript is spliced from 2 exons. Lineage: Eukaryota; Metazoa; Chordata; Mammalia; Carnivora; Canidae.